GACUAGUUUAACACACUCAUUCUACAGAGGGAAAAAGGGAAGCCCAAAGGACUUGCCAUAACAUGUGAAUCAACUAAAGGACUUGCCAUAACAUGUGAAUCACACAGCGAGAUAGAGGAGAGCUGGGACUGGAAGCCAGCGCUCAUCCUCGUUCCUCGGGGCUCAUGCAGGCACUAGGGUGUACCGUCCCCAUCCGCAUGCAACAGGCAGUUCUACACAAGGAGAGGCUCUCAACUCUGUCCGUGAAGACUAAGUGAAUGAAAUACUAAAAGCGCCUCGCCAUAAGACGCUCUCCUCUACGAAGCAUGCCACAGACAGAACCAGCUUUCACAGUAAAAUGCAGCUCAGAGCCAUUCGGGACUGGAGUUGGUUUGCCUGAGACACAAUUCUUCAGGAAAUUCACGCAGAAUUUCACUCAUUUUGUGCAGGCUGAAAUCAAGGCGGGUGAUUUCACUUCCAGGGGUUAGGAGAGAUCUGUUUUCUCAGUGACAUAAGAUAUGGUGACCUCUCAACGCACAAACUUUUCCAGGGAACAUCAGGGUCUUUUGGGAUGGAAAAAGAAGCUGUUUUUUUUAAGAAGCUGUUUGAAAUGUAUAUUUAAGGGAAUUCCCUGGCGGUCCAGCGUAUAGGACUUGGUGCUUUCACUGCAGCACUUUCACUGCUGUGGUUCAAGUGCAAUCCCUGAUUGGGAACUAAGACCCUGCAAGCCGUGGGCGUGGCCAAAAGAAAAAGUUGAAAUGUAUAUUUUAAAACUGCUAUAUAAGUUC
Long non-coding RNA from Orcinus orca (killer whale), 767 nucleotides. RefSeq lists it as uncharacterized. NCBI's taxonomy places the organism in Eukaryota, Metazoa, Chordata, Mammalia, Artiodactyla, Delphinidae. The record is from RefSeq and is a predicted model, not a curated record. The transcript is spliced from 2 exons.